RNAcentral lists this long non-coding RNA (464 nucleotides) under Homo sapiens (human). RNAcentral describes it as "non-protein coding lnc-SHISA2-2:1". The record is from RNAcentral. Lineage: Eukaryota; Metazoa; Chordata; Mammalia; Primates; Hominidae.
AACUUAGAAUCCCUGGCUACCAUUUCAAAAUUGUAAUUGUAAAUUUGGUACAAGAGGGUUUUCUAAAAAGAUUAAUGCAUACAGAUUUUUUUUGUUCUACUUCCUGUGGUUACAUUCCUAAGAAAAACUGCUAGAAUAUUUGCCAGUGACUUGGACCUGGGUUUUAUGACCUGGCAGAAUGUCCUUUAAGGGGCCCUAAGCAAUGCUGUCAGGACUGAGCUGAGUAAGCCCCUGGGGUUAGGGAUGCUGAGGACCCCUGGGGGUGCCCUGGCUUGGCUGGCACAGGAAGGCAGGAGAGGGAGUGGGUUUCAGGGAGGAUGGGCUCCUGGCCUGUGCAUCUUUGCAAGGGUAAGAUUUGCUAAUCUUACAUCACAGAUGCCUCUCCAUGUGUGAGUCUAUGUUAGCUGUACUCUCAAGCAAUGAGAUAAACUGCCCCCUCCCUGGAGGCCCGGUGACUGUCAGCA